GGAGGGGGCUAGCGUUGUUCGGAUUUACUGGGCGUAAAGCGCGCGUAGGCGGGCUGGUUAGUUGGGGGUGAAAUCCCGAGGCUUAACCUCGGAACUGCCCUCAAUACUGCCAGUCUUGAGUUCGAGAGAGGUAAGUGGAAUUCCUAGUGUAGAGGUGAAAUUCGUAGAUAUUAGGAAGAACACCAGUGGCGAAGGCGGCUUACUGGCUCGAUACUGACGCUGAGGCGCGAAAGCGUGGGGAGCAAACAGGAUUAGAUACCCUGGUAGUCCACGCCGUAAACGAUGGGUGCUAGUUGUCAGGCAGCAUGCUGUUUGGUGACGCAGCUAACGCGUUAAGCACCCCCGCCUGGGGACUACGGUCGCAAGACU
Molecule: ribosomal RNA, 369 nt
Filed under: uncultured organism
Description: partial 16S ribosomal RNA
Rfam family: Bacterial small subunit ribosomal RNA
Source: RNAcentral